RNAcentral lists this ribosomal RNA (478 nucleotides) under uncultured bacterium. RNAcentral's name for it is "partial 16S ribosomal RNA". It matches the Rfam family "Bacterial small subunit ribosomal RNA", at positions 28 to 507 of the family's 1533-position model. The record is from RNAcentral.
GAUGAACGCUGGCGGCGUGCUUAACACAUGCAAGUCGAACGAGAAGUGAAGACGGAAACCUUCGGGCGGAAGGCUUUAUUUCGAGUGGCGGACGGGUGAGUAACGCGUGGGUAACCUGCCUCAUACAGGGGGAUAACAGUUGGAAACGACUGUUAAUACCGCAUAAGACAACAGCACCGCAUGGUGCGGGGGUAAAAACUCCGGUGGUAUGAGAUGGACCCGCGUUCGAUUAGCCAGUUGGCGGGGUAACGGCCCACCAAAGCGACGAUCGAUAGCCGAUCUGAGAGGAUGACCGGCCACAUUGGGACUGAGACACGGCCCAAACUCCUACGGGAGGCAGCAGUGGGGAAUAUUGCACAAUGGGGGAAACCCUGAUGCAGCGACGCCGCGUGAAUGAAGAAGUAUUUCGGUAUGUAAAGCUCUAUCAGCAGGGAAGAAAAUGACGGUACCUGAGUAAGAAGCCCCGGCUAACUACGUG